This 358-nucleotide long non-coding RNA is filed under the name Ananas comosus (pineapple). Its description in RNAcentral is "long non-coding RNA (ACOM_LNC028519)". Lineage: Eukaryota; Viridiplantae; Streptophyta; Magnoliopsida; Poales; Bromeliaceae. The record is from RNAcentral.
GAAAGAGCCUUUAGCAUUUUGAUUAAUGAGAAAUAAAAAGUGUUCACUUCGCCCCCUGCCGUUAGUAAUUCGUUAGGAUUCCGUUUAUGAAAUAUUAUUAUAUAUUUUUUUAUGCCAAAAAUGUCCUCAAUCUUUUCUUUUGUGAACAUGGUGAUGAACAAAAUGAUGAGAGACAAAAUGAUUAUUUUAUUAUCACAGUUCACACCGUACCUUCAUGUGAACAUUUUUUAUCUUAUAAGGCGGCAGAGUGUAGGUUUUUAAAUGACAGUAGGAAAAAGUGAAAAAUCAGAUUUUGACAGGAGAAUUUUCUGUAAUUUAACCAAUAAAAAAAUCUAAGUUGGGUUCAAUUUUAUAUAUU